Long non-coding RNA from Sorex araneus (European shrew), 886 nucleotides. RefSeq lists it as uncharacterized. The transcript is spliced from 3 exons. NCBI's taxonomy places the organism in Eukaryota, Metazoa, Chordata, Mammalia, Eulipotyphla, Soricidae. The record is from RefSeq and is a predicted model, not a curated record.
UGCAAGCCACGGUGCAGGACAUGGGAAGAAAUGAGACGGCGGGGCUAGCCACUAACUCAGUCUUCUAGUCUUCCAGCUGAGACCCCAGGCAGCACAGCACACAGACAUGCCAGCCCUGCUGUGCCCGGGGCUCCACUCCUGCCCUGGAAUCUGCGAGCAUGGCACUAUCUGCUUGACAUCAUUGAGUUCUGAGCUACCCUGGUCCGCAGCCACAGUCACUCGAGCCAGACUAGGGCAGGCAGAACUAUGUGGAGGCCCAAAGACAUUGUGGAUGCCGGCCCCUGCCCAUUGCUCUUUAUACACUUUGAAAUCAGAACCCGCCAAUGGAACGGCCGGAGCAAAGUGGUCCGCUCUAAAGAGGAUGCCGAUGAAUAGCUCCAGCUUAAGGAGGAGGAAACUGAGACCCAGACAGACAGUCCACGAAAGGGUGGAGCAGAGAAUCACCCACAUCCAGAUGGUAUGGAUGAAAGUUGGAGAAGAAAGGAAAGGAACCUGUCCACGGCCAGAUCAUCCCGAGGAGAGAGCUGUGAGUCUGGAACCAGAGAAGCCCUCUCUGCUCUCGGAUCUGGCUGCUGGGGAUGGUCUGGUCACUGCCGGCUGCCCCUCCCCCCUCCCAAGCCGAGUUUGAAACUGGCCAGUGUGAGAACGUCCGCCUGGGAAUCGAGAAGGAGCAUCAUUCGACCCACCACCGUCAGUCCACGGUCGCACAGUGAGUGAGCGGCAGAGACAAGGCUCACACAGGCUCAGGGCCACACCGCUGAGUGUCGCAGAGAGGAAGAGGACGGAGCAGGCUCUGGGCGAAGGCUGGGCUUGCGAGCCGCAUCGUGCUACCCCGGGAGCUCUCUCUGGCUCCCCAAGACCAGCCCUCCCCCUCCCACCGGUGACU